This 649-nucleotide ribosomal RNA is filed under the name uncultured Fretibacterium sp. RNAcentral describes it as "bacterial SSU rRNA". It matches the Rfam family "Bacterial small subunit ribosomal RNA", at positions 166 to 846 of the family's 1533-position model. The record is from RNAcentral. Lineage: Bacteria; Thermotogati; Synergistota; Synergistia; Synergistales; Aminobacteriaceae.
AUACCCCAUAGGCCGAGAGGUUAAAGGCAGCGAUGCGCGGCAGGAGGAGCUCGUGUCCUAUCAGCUAGUUGGUGAGGUAACGGCUCACCAAGGCUUCGACGGGUAGCCGGCCUGAGAGGGUGACCGGCCACACUGGAACUGAGACACGGUCCAGACUCCUACGGGAGGCAGCAGUGGGGAACAUUGGGCAAUGGGAGAAAUCCUGACCCAGCGACGCCGCGUGAACGAAGACGGCCUUCGGGUUGUAAAGUUCUUCUAUGUGGGAAGAAUAAAGUGACGGUACCACAUGAAUAAGCCACGGCUAACUACGUGCCAGCAGCCGCGGUAAUACGUAGGGGGCGAGCGUUGUCCGGAAUUACUGGGCGUAAAGGGCACGCAGGCCGUGCUUCAAGUCAGCUGUAAAAGGAUGCGGCUUAACCGUGUUAUGCGGCUGAGACUGAGGUGCUGGAGUACCGGAGAGGCGAGUGGAAUUCCCAGUGUAGCGGUGAAAUGCGUAGAUAUUGGGAAGAACAUCGGUGGCGAAGGCGACUUGCUGGACGGUAACUGACGCUGAGGUGCGAAAGCCAGGGUAGCGAACGGGAUUAGAUACCCCGGUAGUCCUGGCCGUAAACGAUGAAUGCUAGGUGUGCGAGCAGAGAUGUUGGCGUGC